AAGAUGCCGUAUACCCGCGGCUAGACGGAAAGACCCCGUGAACCUUUACUACAGCUUUACACUGGACUUUGAACAUGCUUGUGUAGGAUAGGUGGGAGACUUUGAAGCGUGGACGCCAGUCUGCGUGGAGUCGCCCUUGAAAUACCACCCUGGUAUGUUUGGGGUUCUAACUCAGGCCCGUUAUCCGGGUCGAGGACAGUGUGUGGU
RNAcentral lists this ribosomal RNA (207 nucleotides) under Candidatus Bathyarchaeota archaeon. RNAcentral describes it as "partial 23S ribosomal RNA". It matches the Rfam family "Bacterial large subunit ribosomal RNA", at positions 2056 to 2262 of the family's 2925-position model. Lineage: Archaea; Thermoproteati; Candidatus Bathyarchaeota. The record is from RNAcentral.